ACUAUUUUGGCAGAAUUAAGUGCAAUAGAUUUAGAAUCUGGAAAUAUGAUUUUAUCAUAGAUAGUA
This 66-nucleotide transfer RNA is filed under the name Sphodromantis lineola. Its description in RNAcentral is "tRNA-Leu". It matches the Rfam family "tRNA". From Rfam's summary of the family: Transfer RNA (tRNA) molecules are approximately 80 nucleotides in length. Their secondary structure includes four short double-helical elements and three loops (D, anti-codon, and T loops). The record is from RNAcentral. Lineage: Eukaryota; Metazoa; Arthropoda; Insecta; Mantodea; Mantidae.